This 1642-nucleotide long non-coding RNA is filed under the name Physcomitrium patens. Its description in RNAcentral is "long non-coding RNA (PPAT_LNC012962)". Lineage: Eukaryota; Viridiplantae; Streptophyta; Bryopsida; Funariales; Funariaceae. The record is from RNAcentral.
UGAAGUGGGUUUGAAUACUCUUGACUGUUUUGUGAAAUCGAGUUACAUCUGUGAUUGAAGGAUUAAAAGGGCGUCUAUAGGAUUGAGUAUGCGGAGUGAAUGAAAUUUAUUGGGUUAAUCUAACAAGACAGUCAGUGGAUACAAGAUCGUAAGUACAAAGCAGUAUUGAAGAUUAACAGUUUGGGUUGUUCGGGGUUCUCUGUAACGUCUAGAGACCUACCGGCUGGGGCAAAAAGGACUUCGACAAGCAGUCGAAGACAAUCCGUAUAGAUUUAUGGUACAUUGUUGCAGUCUUUUAUAUUCCAGCAGUCAAAAUUGAUAGACUGCUUGACUAUCGACGAAUCUCCAUACUACCUUCUACAGCCAGAUGCACGGCGCUGUCGUGUUGUAACACGAGUAUACAGUGAAAAUAAAAAGAAAGGGGAAUUUUAUUAAUAUUCAGUUACCUCGAAUAUUGGGAGCAUCGACCAACUCCAGUACAAAUACUGAGUGGUCAGGUUCAGUGACUACGUUACAGUCAGCCGGGGCAUACUGAAAUGCCCCGUUCGAUUGCAAUAACGGGAGUCAGCAGGAAGAGAAGGACCAAUUCACACGACGGGUUCGAGGAGCCAAUUGGAUCCAAUUUCGAUAAUCCAAUCGGGGUCCUCUUACCCAAUAUGAGACCUGUAUUGGCCGGUCAACCCAGUGCAGUCUAGUUACGGGAAAUCUAGGUCUUACUACGGGUCUUAGCCAAUCUGACGCGAGGACCAAUUUGACCCAAUUACGGGAACAUUCAGGUUAUUACGGGCAUCUUUCCCAAUAUAGGACCUGAAUUGAACGGGCAACUCAAAGUGGUCUAAUUACGGGAACAUCCAGGUUCCUACGGGCAUCUUUCCCAAUAUAGGACCUAAAUUGGUCGUUUUCGGUAAAUGGAUUUCUUAAAGGUAAAUACGGAGGAGAAAGCUUGGCGGCGAGAGCCAAUUUCGGAUCUAAGCUUGUUCGGUAAAUGGAUUUCUUAAAGGUAAAAGCGGAGGAGAAAGCUUGGCGGCGAGAGCCAAUUUCAGAUCCAAACUUGAGUUGGGAGCCAAUUUCGGAUCCAAGCUUGAGGUGGGAGCCAUUUCCGGAUCUAAGACGGAAGAUUGAAGAAAUUCAGAGGAUAAGGUUAGGUGGGAUAUAGUUUUGGGGGGGGUUUUUCUUUGAGGGGAAAUCGGGGGGGGGGGAGCGAGUUUUCAAGCUUCUGCAAGGUUACUAGUUCGGUUUUUCAUUGGAGGUUUUUGAAGAUCAAGGGAAUUAGAGAGAGGAGCUUCAUUCUUCGGGUCGGGGAAGGAAAGACAUAGAAUUUGGAUUUUUCUUCUUCGUAGAGUUUUGGGGAAGACUGAGGCAAUCGCUGCUGAAGUCAGUGUUGUAAUGGUGAAUCGGGAUUUUAAAUGAAGUGGGUUUGAAUACUCUUGAUUGUUUUGUGAAAUCGAGUUACGUCUGUAAUUGAAGGAUUAAAAGGGUGUCUAUAGGAUUGAGUAUGCAGAGUGAAUGAAAUUUAUUGGGUUAAUCUAACAAGACAGUCAGUGGAUACCAGAUCGUAAGUACAAAGCAGUAUUGAAGGUUAACAGUUUGGGUUGUACAGGGUUCUCUGUAACGUCUAGAGACCUAUCGGCUGGGGCAAAAA